CUUCGCUGUACGAGUAGGAGCCCGAGCGGAUGGUGCCGGCGCUGUAGGUCCCAUCGCCGCCCUCCACGUACUGCACCGGCCCCCCCGUGUAGACGUGUUGCACCGGGACCUGCUGCAGCUGCUGCACCUCCUGCCCCACGCUGUGCACCUGCAGGGGGGGCCCAGGGCCCGGCUUGGCUGCACCGCUGCUGCUCUGCACCGGGGAGCGCUGCGGCCCCCCCUGUGCGCUCCCGGGG
Molecule: long non-coding RNA, 236 nt
Filed under: Gallus gallus (chicken)
Lineage: Eukaryota; Metazoa; Chordata; Aves; Galliformes; Phasianidae
Source: RNAcentral